UGGGGAAUAUUGCACAAUGGGCGCAAGCCUGAUGCAGCCAUGCCGCGUGUGUGAAGAAGGCCUUCGGGUUGUAAAGCACUUUCAGCGAGGAGGAAGGUGGUGAGCUUAAUACGCUCAUCAAUUGACGUUACUCGCAGAAGAAGCACCGGCUAACUCCGUGCCAGCAGCCGCGGUAAUACGGAGGGUGCAAGCGUUAAUCGGAAUUACUGGGCGUAAAGCGCACGCAGGCGGUUUGUUAAGUCAGAUGUGAAAUCCCCGGGCUCAACCUGGGAACUGCAUUUGAAACUGGCAAGCUAGAGUCUCGUAGAGGGGGGUAGAAUUCCAGGUGUAGCGGUGAAAUGCGUAGAGAUCUGGAGGAAUACCGGUGGCGAAGGCGGCCCCCCUGGACGAAGACUGACGCUCAGGUGCGAAAGCGUGGGGCAGCAAACAGGAUUAGAUACCCUGGUAGUCCAGCGCUGUAAACGAUGUCGAUUUGGAGGUUGUGCCCUUGAGGCGUGGCUUCCGGAGCUAACGCGUUAAAUCGACCGCCUGGGGAGUACGGCCGCAAGGUU
Molecule: ribosomal RNA, 551 nt
Filed under: uncultured bacterium
Lineage: Bacteria
Description: partial 16S ribosomal RNA
Rfam family: Bacterial small subunit ribosomal RNA
Source: RNAcentral